GACGAACGCUGGCGGCGUGCCUAAUACAUGCAAGUAGAACGCUGAAGGAGGAGCUUGCUUCUCUGGAUGAGUUGCGAACGGGUGAGUAACGCGUAGGUAACCUGCCUGGUAGCGGGGGAUAACUAUUGGAAACGAUAGCUAAUACCGCAUAAUAGUAGAUGUUGCAUGACAUUUGCUUAAAAGGUGCAAUUGCAUCACUACCAGAUGGACCUGCGUUGUAUUAGCUAGUUGGUGAGGUAACGGCUCACCAAGGCAACGAUACAUAGCCGACCUGAGAGGGUGAGCGGCCACACUGGGACUGAGACACGGCCCAGACUCCUACGGGAGGCAGCAGUAGGGAAUCUUCGGCAAUGGACGGAAGUCUGACCGAGCAACGCCGCGUGAGUGAAGAAGGUUUUCGGAUCGUAAAGCUCUGUUGUAAGAGAAGAACGAGUGUGAGAGUGGAAAGUUCACACUGUGACGGUAUCUUACCAGAAAGGGACGGCUAACUACGUG
This 495-nucleotide ribosomal RNA is filed under the name uncultured bacterium. RNAcentral's name for it is "partial 16S ribosomal RNA". It matches the Rfam family "Bacterial small subunit ribosomal RNA", at positions 28 to 507 of the family's 1533-position model. The record is from RNAcentral.